Molecule: ribosomal RNA, 166 nt
Filed under: Flavobacterium sp. ASW18X
Lineage: Bacteria; Pseudomonadati; Bacteroidota; Flavobacteriia; Flavobacteriales; Flavobacteriaceae
Description: partial 16S ribosomal RNA
Rfam family: Bacterial small subunit ribosomal RNA
Source: RNAcentral
ACAACGAUGGAGAGUUUGAUCCUGGCUCAGGAUGAACGCUAGCGGCAGGCCUAACACAUGCAAGUCGAGGGGUAGCAGGAAAAAGCUUGCUUUUUUGCUGACGACCGGCGCACGGGUGCGGAACGCGUAUGGAACCUGCCCCUAUCUGGGGAAUAGCCUUUAGAAA